GACGAACGCUGGCGGCGUGCUUAACACAUGCAAGUCGAACGGAAAGGCCCUGCUUUUGUGGGGUGCUCGAGUGGCGAACGGGUGAGUAACACGUGAGUAACCUGCCCUUGACUUUGGGAUAACUUCAGGAAACUGGGGCUAAUACCGGAUAGGAGCUCCUGCUGCAUGGUGGGGGUUGGAAAGUUUCGGCGGUUGGGGAUGGACUCGCGGCUUAUCAGCUUGUUGGUGGGGUAGUGGCUUACCAAGGCUUUGACGGGUAGCCGGCCUGAGAGGGUGACCGGCCACAUUGGGACUGAGAUACGGCCCAGACGCCUACGGGAGGCAGCAGUGGGGAAUAGUGCACAAUGGGCGGAGGCCUGAUGCAGCAACGCCGCGUGCGGGAUGACGGCCUUCGGGUUGGAAACCGCUUUCGCCUGUGACGAAGCGUGAGUGACGGUAAUGGGGAAAGAAACACCGGCUAACUACGU
RNAcentral lists this ribosomal RNA (467 nucleotides) under uncultured bacterium. RNAcentral's name for it is "partial 16S ribosomal RNA". It matches the Rfam family "Bacterial small subunit ribosomal RNA", at positions 28 to 506 of the family's 1533-position model. The record is from RNAcentral.